UACGUAGGUGGCAAGCGUUAUCCGGAAUUAUUGGGCGUAAAGAGCGCGCAGGUGGUUAAUUAAGUCUGAUGUGAAAGCCCACGGCUUAACCGUGGAGGGUCAUUGGAAACUGGUUGACUUGAGUGCAGAAGAGGGAAGUGGAAUUCCAUGUGUAGCGGUGAAAUGCGUAGAGAUAUGGAGGAGCACCAGUGGCGAAGGCGGCUUCCUGGUCUGCAACUGACACUGAGGCGCGAAAGCGUGGGGAGCAAACAGG
RNAcentral lists this ribosomal RNA (253 nucleotides) under uncultured bacterium. Its description in RNAcentral is "partial 16S ribosomal RNA". It matches the Rfam family "Bacterial small subunit ribosomal RNA", at positions 524 to 776 of the family's 1533-position model. The record is from RNAcentral.